RNAcentral lists this ribosomal RNA (1109 nucleotides) under human gut metagenome. Its description in RNAcentral is "bacterial SSU rRNA". It matches the Rfam family "Bacterial small subunit ribosomal RNA", at positions 8 to 1073 of the family's 1533-position model. The record is from RNAcentral.
AGAGUUUGAUCCUGGCUCAGGAUGAACGCUGGCGGCGUGCCUAAUACAUGCAAGUCGAACGCUUUGUCUUUAAUUGAUAUGAAGAGCUUGCUCUGAUUUGAUUUUAUCUGACAAAGAGUGGCGAACGGGUGAGUAACACGUGGGUAACCUACCUCUUAGCAGGGGAUAACAUUUGGAAACAAGUGCUAAUACCGUAUAACACUAACAACCGCAUGGUUGUUAGUUGAAAGAUGGUUCUGCUAUCACUAAGAGAUGGACCCGCGGUGCAUUAGCUAGUUGGUAAGGUAAUGGCUUACCAAGGCGAUGAUGCGUAGCCGAGUUGAGAGACUGAUCGGCCACAAUGGGACUGAGACACGGCCCAUACUCCUACGGGAGGCAGCAGUAGGGAAUCUUCCACAAUGGGCGCAAGCCUGAUGGAGCAACGCCGCGUGUGUGAUGAAGGGUUUCGGCUCGUAAAACACUGUUAUAAGAGAAGAACGACAUUGAGAGUAACUGUUCAGUGUGUGACGGUAUCUUAUCAGAAAGGAACGGCUAAAUACGUGCCAGCAGCCGCGGUAAUACGUAUGUUCCAAGCGUUAUCCGGAUUUAUUGGGCGUAAAGCGAGCGCAGACGGUUAUUUAAGUCUGAAGUGAAAGCCCUCAGCUCAACUGAGGAAGGGCUUUGGAAACUGGAUAACUUGAGUGCAGUAGAGGAAAGUGGAACUCCAUGUGUAGCGGUGAAAUGCGUAGAUAUAUGGAAGAACACCAGUGGCGAAGGCGGCUUUCUGGACUGUAACUGACGUUGAGGCUCGAAAGUGUGGGUAGCAAACAGGAUUAGAUACCCUGGUAGUCCACACCGUAAACGAUGAGUGCUAAGUGUUGGAGGGUUUCCGCCCUUCAGUGCUGCAGCUAACGCAUUAAGCACUCCGCCUGGGGAGUACGACCGCAAGGUUGAAACUCAAAGGAAUUGACGGGGACCCGCACAAGCGGUGGAGCAUGUGGUUUAAUUCGAAGCAACGCGAAGAACCUUACCAGGUCUUGACAUCCCGAUGCUAUUUCUAGAGAUAGAAAGUUACUUCGGUACAUCGGUGACAGGUGGUGCAUGGUUGUCGUCAGCUCGUGUCGUGAGAU